ACCUGGCUAGCUCAGUCGGUAGAGCAUGCAACUCUCAAUCUCAGGGUCGUGAGUUCAAGCCCCGUGUUAGGCA
This 73-nucleotide transfer RNA is filed under the name Ailuropoda melanoleuca (giant panda). It matches the Rfam family "tRNA". Rfam says of the family: Transfer RNA (tRNA) molecules are approximately 80 nucleotides in length. Lineage: Eukaryota; Metazoa; Chordata; Mammalia; Carnivora; Ursidae. The record is from Rfam by way of RNAcentral.